CCCUGUGCCCCAACAAUAACAAAUGUUCGGCAAAUGCUUCAGUUCAAUUCACAAAUAAGGAAAAGCUCUGCAGCCCCACAGGAGGGGCCCGCCCCCCACUUUGGGAACCAAUUAAACUAACUUAAAAGAUGAACCUCUAAAAAAAAAAAAAAAAAAAAAGUUGUUGAAGGGAAAAUGGCUACAAUUUCCAAAAGACAGGACAAAAUAUGACAAGAUUUGAUCAUUAAAUGUUAACACAUCGAGGCGAGUUGAACGAUGAAGAUGUUGGGACUAGAGACAGACAGUAGUGAGACCUGCUAUGACACCAGGAUGGACAGAACUGAGAUCAGAUCAGAGGGACAGUCAAGGUGGAGCAGUUUGGAGAUGGAGUAGAGAGGUGGAGAUGUUGGACAGAAGGUGGAGAUGUUGGACAGAAGGUGGAGAAACGGAGGACGUUAGAUGAAAGACAACAUGGAGACGGUUGGUGUAAAAGCAGAGGAGGCAGAUGAUCCACUGUGGCGCCCCCUGAAGGGAAUAAUUAAAUGUUGACAACAGAUCAAUAGUUCUCUGCUCUUGUAUUUUACAUCUUUUACAUCUGUAAGAAAAUGUCGACCGUUUCCUCUUUUUCUCCGUCACCUCAACACACCGUCAACUCUCUGUUGCCAUCAAUCGGCGCGGCUUUAGCUUCGGCCGUGUUUAUCAUUCACGCCUGUCCCCGAGGUGGAACUCGACCCUCAUUAACCAGCUCUGUGCACAGGCUAAAUCCUAACACUUGCGUGGGAAUUGUGAUGAGCACAUCAACAUUAGCAUAUUAGCAUUCUUAGCGCUAGUUAACAGUCCGGCCGAUCCCCUCUGUUAGUCCCACAGCAGCCUGUCAGCAGCAGGCUUUUCCAUCUGCAGACAGACCGGCGCUCCCACUGGUGAGGGAGAUUUACUGCGUCGGCUUUGAUCAGAUCAGCGUUUAUACCUGUCCUCUGAGACAGAGACGUUCAUGAAGGCCAGUUUAGUAAGUGUUUAAUUGUAGUAUUUGUUCUGUGCUUGUUAAUACUGUCACUAGUACUGAAGUACUGACGACGUCAUAGACCAGACUAGUCCUUUAGACUAGUCCUAGUACUCUGUGGCAGCACUUAGAAGACAUUUUUGUGACCCACAAUUAUUUCUGAUUUAUUUUUGACUAACCCAUUGUCAGAGUAUUUUGCUAACGUUUACAUUUCUACCAAAAAAUGUUAGCUUUUUCCCGACUAACUGAGCAAAAACUUUAACUGUUUUUACAUGUUUCGGCCUAACUUUACAUCUAUACAUAUACCAUAUAUAAAUAUACAUUAUUAGUUUACCUAGGUAUAUUUUCACUUGGUGGUUUAUUUGAUCAGUCAUUGUUACUUAUUAACUUAUUCAUUUGUUGAAUCUGUGUUCACUGUUUUCUUCACCUGAUCUAUGCAAACGUUCAAGUUUCCAGCAAUUCCUCACAGAACAGAACGACUAUUUUUGGCCGGACUGCUGCAUUUUUCUUUUUACAAGAAAAAGGGGAGCGAGACAAAAAAAAAAAAAAAACACUCCUCUUGACAGAAAUGUUGAACCGCAGCAGCCAGCUGUGAAGUGUUGUUCUGAAGGGGCUCUCACUGUACAACAUGUGGUCGGCUUCCUUAAAUCCAACUAUUUGCGGCGACAUAAUUGCAGUCUAGACGUGCUGCUGUAUCUGGAGUUACAUCUGAAUCUACAGAUAAUAAAUCCACCGGCUCGCAGCAGCAGCAGCAGCAGCAGCAGCAGCACAGAGUCUGAAGGUGACGAAGAACACGGGCCGUAAAUUGAAACGUCUCUCAGUGUUUGGUCUGAUUUGGAUCUGGACCCAAACGGUUCAGUCUUUUUGGAGAUUCACGUAUUACUUUUCUGGCUGAGAUGGACGGGGAGAUUACAAAGCACUCUGGUGUUUGUCUGUUACCACAGGCAGGGGGCGUUGGGCCGCCCCUCCACCCACCCACCCCACCCCACCCCUUCUCCAUCCUCUCAUCCAACUCCUGGCUGGAAGUCAAAUCACUGUGCUUUUGUAUUAUGGGCUACAGAAAGUAUUUUGUUUUCAUUUUAAACGCCUGCUGGUAUAAACCAAACCAAGUUCAUAAAAAUUGUUUUUUUUUUUUAACCUUUCACGUCUACAGUCUGACUGCACGUGCUCUGUUAUGGCAGGUGUGAUUAUGCAGCCCAGCUGGGCCACAUUCAGACUAUUUGGGUAUCACUGGAUGACACACUACCACAAAUCAAUUCUAUCAUUUCCACCAUCUUAGUCUUUGUCCCACAGAUAGUUUUGCUAAUUCUUUUUUAAUGUUUCGACUUGGAUUUAUUGAUUGAUUAAGUCAUUAAUCUGUAUCAGAAAUCUUCAAAUUUUGCUGAGUCAAACAGAGAUAGAAAAACUAUUUUGUUCAAAAGAUUUUUUUUUGUAGAUUUUCCCAGAACUUGGAAGUAUGGGAGUAUGUGGGCGUGUUGAGAAAAAAAACAAACUAAACCUAAGGUCCAGACAGUUUACAGCCAAACCACCCGCUUCACACCCGAUUCUGUCCCAUCUCCAGACAGGAAGGGUUUUAUUUUCGCCUUCACAGCUGCAGAAAUAGGACUGAAUGGAGGAUGAAGGAAGUGGAGGGAGGAAAAUGUGUUUUCCAUUCUUAGCUGACGGAGGAGUGAGGGCUCUGGGAAAGAUCUGACACUGCAUAGAGGAAGUUCAUUACAGGGAAUCUGAGCUUUUACUGGGCUGUGGGUUUUUUAUUAUUUAAAAAAAAAAAA
Long non-coding RNA from Cynoglossus semilaevis (tongue sole), 2751 nucleotides. RefSeq lists it as uncharacterized. Lineage: Eukaryota; Metazoa; Chordata; Actinopteri; Pleuronectiformes; Cynoglossidae. The transcript is spliced from 2 exons. The record is from RefSeq and is a predicted model, not a curated record.